AUGUAGCGAGCUGAGUGGGGAGGAGAGAGGGACAGAGAGCCUGCUUGCUUUAAAGGAACCAACCAGACAGGAGCCACUUACACUCCUCUCCCGCUUUGCUCCUUUAAAGAAGCAGGCUCUCUGUCCCUCUCUCCUCCCCACUCAGCGGCUCUUCUC
This 156-nucleotide microRNA precursor is filed under the name Podarcis lilfordi (Lilford's wall lizard). Lineage: Eukaryota; Metazoa; Chordata; Lepidosauria; Squamata; Lacertidae. The record is from RNAcentral.